GACGAACGCUGGCGGCGUGCCUAAUACAUGCAAGUAGGACGCAGUUGCGAACGGUUGAGUAACGCGUAGGUAACUGCCUAUUAGAGGGGGAUAACUAUUGGAAACGAUAGCUAAUACCGCAUACUAGUAGAUGGACCUGCGUUGUAUUAGCUAGUAGGUAGGGUAAUGGCCUACCUAGGCGACGAUACAUAGCCGAGCGGGGAGGGGGAUCGGCAAGACGGGGACGGAGACACGGACCAGACUCCUACGGGAGGGAGCAGGAGGGAAUCUUCGGCAAUGGGGGGAACACUGACCGAGCAACGCCGCGUGAGUGAAGAAGGUUUUCGGAUCGUAAAGCUCUGUUGUUAAGGAAGCGGUACUUAACCAGAAAGGGACGGCUAACUACGUGCCAGCCGCCGCGGUAAUUC
RNAcentral lists this ribosomal RNA (407 nucleotides) under uncultured bacterium. Its description in RNAcentral is "partial 16S ribosomal RNA". It matches the Rfam family "Bacterial small subunit ribosomal RNA", at positions 28 to 526 of the family's 1533-position model. The record is from RNAcentral.